ACAAAAGCCAACGAGUGAAACGAGCGAAAAUCAAUAGAGUUACAUGAGGGUAGUAAACUUAUUGUUAGUUUGCUAUUUCUGUUCGAUGCGUCUAGUGAAAUGUUUGAAACGAGGCAACGAUUUAUGUACCGGUUUGAGCGCAAUUCAUCGUUUGCCAUGUUACGUAAUGAGACACAUUCCGUAUUCGUCUAUCCUAAAUAUAUAAAACUAUAUUUAAAAACAAAAUGAUAUUGAAUUAUUUAUCAUACUGCCUGGCACUCCGUCCUAGUGGAGCUUGAUCUGUUAUGAAAGUGACACCAAAGUGAAGCAGCAAAUGAACAAAAAUGGUACCACAUACUACUGUCUAUCCUCAAAUAUGGCGACGAUGACAAUGAUGAUGAUGAUGAUGCGAUGGAAACAUUCAACAACCAGCAGUUUGGCCUUAAAUGCCCAUAACCGAAGUGCCGUUCUCGGAUAUCACACACCAGUCAGUGGCGAGACAAGGUGUUUUUGGAGGUAGCAAGAUGGU
Topomyia yanbarensis is the source of this 508-nucleotide long non-coding RNA. RefSeq lists it as uncharacterized. The record is from RefSeq and is a predicted model, not a curated record. The transcript has 3 exons. NCBI's taxonomy places the organism in Eukaryota, Metazoa, Arthropoda, Insecta, Diptera, Culicidae.